AUGGCUUGUCAUGGAUGCCCCAAUGGCAAUGCCAAUGUCUGGUGCUUUGUUCUGGCCCUUUUGAUCACCAUUGCCAGCUUCGCUCCAAACCCAAGUUUUGCUAAGAAAACAAAAGUUGAUGGCUUGAAAUUAAACGUGAUCGAUGGUUGCUGGAGAUGGAACUCGGAUUGGAGAAGGAACCGGCAGGAACUUGCAUUAUGCUCAGUGGGAUUUUCUGGGAAGAUGAGCAACAACAUAGGAAGAGAUGUCAUAUACUAUCAAGUCACGGACCCAAGUGACAGUGCGUUGGACCCCAAACCGGGAACUUUGAGAUAUGGGGUUACCAUGAUAAAAGGGAAAAAGUGGAUCACCUUCCAGAGGGACAUGCACAUUAGGCUUGACAAACCACUUCUCAUUAGUAGCUUCACUGCCAUUGAUGGAAGAGAUGCUAAUGUUCACAUUGCUGGUAAUGCAUGCUUGCUGGUCUUUCAGGUACGUAUAUUAAUUACAUUUAUUUACACACACAUACGUAUUUAAUUGGCUAGUUAGUGUUCAAACCUAAGACCACUAGUAUGUAAGUCAAAACUCUUUUUCAUUGGACUAGAUACCGUUGACAUUCAUAAGUAUAUUUAAGAUAAUGUAGUAAGUACCAAAUUUAUAUACUUAUAAUAUAUUCAUAAGUAUAUUCAAAUUGCAAUCUAACACUCGCCAGCUUAUUGCAAAAGUAAUCUUCUGUUGUCCUUAUUUAAGGCUGAAAAUCUAACUAGCCUAUAUUGUAACCAAGAAUAAUCUAAUUAGCAUGAAUGGGGUAGUUCGAUAACCUAAACCCUUGAUUUUCUUAUUCUAAAUGAGAAAUGAGGGAUGAUAUAGUUGAGACAGUUUUGAGUGGUAUGGUCACACCGCCACGUGCUAUUACUAAUCUAUUGUUAUAAUAUGGGUGAAGACAUGGAUUAUAUAUAUAUCUCAUGGAAUGGAACUAGCUAGGGAAUAGUUUUAAUAGAUAAAUACAUACAAUAUAAGUAAAGUUGUAACACCGCAUAACAGUCUCAUUAUGAUUUUUUAACAAUUGAAUAUAAUAAAGAUAUCUUGUGUACAUUUUCAUGCAUGUAAACUAAUUAUAUUAUUGUUUUAAACGUUAUCAGGCAAGCAAUAUAAUCAUCCAUGGCCUUCGAAUCCAUCAUUGCCGACCCCAACCACCAAGCUCAGUUAUGGGUCCCGAAGGAAAGAUAAUGCCAAUAGGGCAGGUUGAUGGAGAUGCAAUCAGGUUGGUAACUGCAUCAAAGGUUUGGAUAGACCACAAUACACUCUACGAGUGCCAGGACGGUCUUCUCGAUGUUACUCGCGGAUCUACCCAUAUCACCAUCUCCAACAAUUGGUUCAGAGACCAGGACAAGGUUAUGCUUCUCGGCCAUGAUGAUGGCUACUUUCGGGACAAGAACAUGAGGGUGACUGUUGUGUACAACCAUUUUGGACCCAACUGCAACCAAAGAAUGCCAAGGUAAAGGCCUCUAGCUAUUACUACAGCUAUUACUAUUAGCAAAGUAUGUACGUAAUAUAUGUAUAGGAAGUUGAGUUUCCACUCCAAAACCAAUUGGCAAUGGGCGAAGCAAUGGAACUCCUUAUAAGUGUAGGACAUUUUCACUUUCACAUUCUCACAUACAAAACGUUGUUGCAUGCAUGCAGGAUUCGCUAUGGAUAUGCACAUGUCGUGAACAACCUUUACAGAGAAUGGUCGCAGUAUGCUAUUGGGGGAAGCAUGAACCCUAGUGUUAAGAGUGAAGCCAACCUCUUCAUUGCACCAAAAUCGGGAAACAAGAAAGAGGUAAUUAUUAACUCAAAUGUAUAUAUAUUCAAGUUCAAAUGCAAUGCCCUUAAUUAAUUAAUGAAUGAUUUUCCAUGUACUCACAGAUCACUUGGAGGAAGGACAGCAUUGGAGACAAAGAAUCCUGGAAGUUUUACUCUGUAGGAGAUAUCUUUGAAAAUGGGGCUUCUUUCGUGGAAACAGGUGCCGGCAGAGCAAAGCCAAACUAUAACAGAGAACAAACUUUCCCAGUUGUUAAUGCCAAAUCUGUCCGCUCAUUGACAAGGUCAUCUGGUGCUUUGAUAUGCAUCAAAAGAUCCAGAUGCUAA
This 2109-nucleotide long non-coding RNA is filed under the name Prunus dulcis (almond). Its description in RNAcentral is "sRNA ncRNA". Lineage: Eukaryota; Viridiplantae; Streptophyta; Magnoliopsida; Rosales; Rosaceae. The record is from RNAcentral.